Molecule: long non-coding RNA, 1068 nt
Filed under: Sus scrofa (pig)
Lineage: Eukaryota; Metazoa; Chordata; Mammalia; Artiodactyla; Suidae
Description: lncRNA (ENSSSCG00040072884.1)
Source: RNAcentral
UUUUUUUUUUUUUUUUUGGCCAUACCCAUGGCAUGUGGAAGUUCACGGUCCAGGGAUUGAACCCACGUCACAGCAGUGAUCCGAGCAGUGACAACAGCAGAUCCUUAACCCUCUAAACCACAAGAGAACACCAGGACCGGCUUUCAUGAAACGGGCCAAAUGGAGUCCUGGGUGAAACAGUCUCCCCCGCGGCCAUAGCAGGGCUCUGACAGGGGAAGAAGCUGUGCGGAUCGUCGCAGCAGUACUUGUGGUCGCGGAAGCCGCAGCAGAAGACGGCGGCCGCUUCGCCCCCCGGCCGCGGGCAGCUGAAGCCGCGCACCACCUCCUGCUCGGCGCUCACGUAGCUCGUGCAGGCGCCGCUCAUCGUGUCCCGCGUCGGGCCCGCCGCCACCUCGGGCCACCAGACGGCCGGCGAGAGACGGCCGGACGGAGACAGAACGGAGCCCGAGGAAGAGCGCGAAGCAGAGCUAAGCAGAGAGACCGAGAUUGACGCAGAGACGGAGAAAGACACAAGAGGCGCGGAGACGCCGCGGUUAGAGACCUGGCGUCCCCGAGGGCCGAGGGAGGCGACCAGUAGUUAAGAUGGAAGAGCUGGAAGCCUGGCACCUGUGAGCCACUGGAAGUGAGUGACUGGAAGAUGCUUCUGCCCUCAAAGACCUGAGUGACUGGAAGACGCUUCUGCCCUCAAAACCAUGCUCUGGACCUCGGCAGACUUGCUCUGGGAGGGAGCGGGGGCCUCAGGGUGUAGAAAGAAACGCUGCAGCCCAGGGGUGCUGAAUAUCUGCGGUGAAGGCUCCAUUCUGCUUACUGGGUGGUCCGCCCCCAAGGCCCUGGGCUCUGAACACAGCCCCUGGCCCACGACCUUACUGUCGCCAGCUGUGCCCCCUUGACUCCCCUCCCCCAGGCCCCCCGCCGUGGCUGGAGAAGCAAGAAAAUUAUACCGACCACGUGCAUGAAGUUGCUCUAAGUGCCGGUUCCCUGCACGGUCGGUCGGUCUCUCUCCUGAUGCCCAAGAUGGAUUCUUUCCCUUCUUUUCCAGGAUGAUGCCCUUGCGCCUCAUCCUGCAAG